This 19-nucleotide small nuclear RNA is filed under the name Arabidopsis thaliana (thale cress). Its description in RNAcentral is "snRNA_06829". Lineage: Eukaryota; Viridiplantae; Streptophyta; Magnoliopsida; Brassicales; Brassicaceae. The record is from RNAcentral.
UGAAGAAGCAGCUCUUUGC